RNAcentral lists this ribosomal RNA (325 nucleotides) under uncultured bacterium. Its description in RNAcentral is "bacterial SSU rRNA". It matches the Rfam family "Bacterial small subunit ribosomal RNA", at positions 359 to 679 of the family's 1533-position model. The record is from RNAcentral.
GAAUUGGANAUGGGCGCAAGCCUGAUCCAGCCAUGCCGCGUGUGUGAAGAAGGCCUUCGGGUUGUAAAGCACUUUCAGCGAGGAGGAAGGGGUUGUAGUUAAUAGCUGCAACCUUUGACGUUACUCGCAGAGGAAGCACCGGCUAACUCUGUGCCAGCAGCCGCGGUAAUACAGAGGGUGCAAGCGUUAAUCGGAAUUACUGGGCGUAAAGCGCACGCAGGCGGUUGGUUAAGUCAGAUGUGAAAGCCCCGGGCUCAACCUGGGAAUUGCAUUUGAAACUGGCCAACUAGAGUACGUGAGAGGGGGGUAGAAUUCCAAGUGUAAC